AAUCAGGCAAGAGACUUGCAUGCUGGGAGAUAAAUUGUCUGCUGUAACUGCCCCAAGUGUUCCUGUCCAUCAGACAACCGCUCUUGCAAGAACGUUGAUUAAACCUAUCUUCACUGUGCUUGGAGUCUCUGCGUCCCUCCUUUGAUUGGUGAUCAACAUUCCCCUCCCAAUGAGCAAAGCAAGGGCCUGCUCAUCACCUUUGGAACACACUGCCUUUGUUCGAUCAUGGCUGUGACUGAGUUCCUGAGAACUUACAUCUCAUAUGAAACAAUGAAGAUAACUCAGAAGACCCCAUUCUGGAAGAAUGUGAUUCCAUGCUCUUGUCCUCUGCCUAGAGCUGGUGUAGAAGGGACAUUGACUUUCAGAGAUUUGGGUUUGAAUUCUAGCCUUGCCACUUUCUAGCCUUAGUUUCCUCACCUGUAAAAUGGAACUAAUAACCUACCUCAAUGGACUUUUUAUAAGGAUAUAAUUAGUUACCACAUGCAAAGUGCCUGGUGUGCAAUAAACACUCAUAAGUAAUGUCGUCAUGAUUUAUACAAAUCACCAGGCUAGGAAAAUCUGUUCUGGUUCUCUUGCUGUCACUUUCUCCCAGAUGUCUGCCAUUUUGAAAUUCGCCCUGUAAUUAAAUAUUUUCAGUCAAAUCA
Puma concolor (puma) is the source of this 644-nucleotide long non-coding RNA. RefSeq lists it as uncharacterized. Lineage: Eukaryota; Metazoa; Chordata; Mammalia; Carnivora; Felidae. The record is from RefSeq and is a predicted model, not a curated record.